GCCUUGAUACAAGCUACCUAUGUCAUUAAAGAGUUACUGUCACAUGCCAAUUUUUGCAGCCUUUGUGACAAGCCCCACAACAGACCAGAAAAAACAAAUCCUAACAUGUACCAGCCGCCAAAAUGAAGCUUCCGGUGCCCUCUCUCUGCAUCUAACUCCGUCAAACACAAAGAGACAUAUCACUUAUUACUACACUGUGAGGGUACAUGUCACUCACCAGCACGCUACAACUGUCAAACCUUGCAGUGUGGUAAUAAAUGACAAGUAUCCUUUCCACCCUUUACAUUCGUAGUGUGGUAAUAAGUGAUAUGUAGUGUUUCUUUGUGCUGGUGAGCAAUAU
Molecule: non-coding RNA, 340 nt
Organism: Pelobates cultripes (western spadefoot toad)
Lineage: Eukaryota; Metazoa; Chordata; Amphibia; Anura; Pelobatidae
Source: the annotation of a GenBank genome assembly